AGCUUUGUGCAGUGGCAGUAUCAUAGCCAAUGAGGUUUAGCCGAGGCGCGAUUAUUGCUAAUUGAAAACUUGAGACAGAGUCUCACUCUGUUGGAGUGCAGUGGCAUGAUCUAAGCUCACUGCAACUUCUGCCUCCCAGGUUCAUGU
This 147-nucleotide small nuclear RNA is filed under the name Saimiri boliviensis boliviensis (Bolivian squirrel monkey). Its description in RNAcentral is "U4 spliceosomal RNA (ENSSBOG00000000563.1)". It matches the Rfam family "U4 spliceosomal RNA". Rfam says of the family: U4 small nuclear RNA (U4 snRNA) is a component of the major U2-dependent spliceosome. The structure of U4 snRNA from yeast and human has been reported. U4 snRNA presents a k-turn RNA motif in the 5p-SL related to recognition of Snu13 protein. The record is from Rfam by way of RNAcentral. Lineage: Eukaryota; Metazoa; Chordata; Mammalia; Primates; Cebidae.